UCGGCAAAGCUCAAAUUUGAAAUCUAGCACCUUCGGUGUUCGAGUUGUAAUUUGAAGAUGGUAACCUUGGGUUUGGCUCUUGUCUAUGUUCCUUGGAACAGGACGUCAUAGAGGGUGAGAAUCCCGUCUGAUGAGAUGCCCAUUCCUAUGUAAGGUGCUAUCGAAGAGUCGAGUUGUUUGGGAAUGCAGCUCUAAGUGGGUGGUAAAUUCCAUCUAAAGCUAAAUAUUGGCGAGAGACCGAUAGCGAACAAGUACAGUGAUGGAAAGAUGAAAAGAACUUUGAAAAGAGAGUGAAAAAGUACGUGAAAUUGUUGAAAGGGAAGGGCAUUAGAUCAGACUUGGUGUUUUACGAUUAUCUUCUCUUCUUGAGUUGUGCACUCGUAUUUCACUGGGCCAGCAUCGAUUCGGAUGGCAAGAUAAUGGCAGUUGAAUGUGGCUUCACUUCGGUGGAGUGUNAUAGCUUCUGCUGAUAUUGCCUGUCUGGAUCGAAGGCUG
Molecule: ribosomal RNA, 495 nt
Filed under: Hansenula anomala
Lineage: Eukaryota; Fungi; Ascomycota; Saccharomycetes; Phaffomycetales; Wickerhamomycetaceae
Description: eukaryotic LSU rRNA
Rfam family: Eukaryotic large subunit ribosomal RNA
Source: RNAcentral